ACAAUGAAGAGUUUGAUCCUGGCUCAGGAUGAACGCUAGCUACAGGCUUAACACAUGCAAGUCGAGGGGCAGCAUUUUAGUUUGCUUGCAAACUAAAGAUGGCGACCGGCGCACGGGUGAGUAACACGUAUCCAACCUGCCGAUAACUCGGGGAUAGCCUUUCGAAAGAAAGAUUAAUAUCCGAUAGUAUAUUAAAACCGCAUGGUUUUACUAUUAAAGAAUUUCGGUUAUCGAUGGGGAUGCGUUCCAUUAGUUUGUUGGCGGGGUAACGGCCCACCAAGACUACGAUGGAUAGGGGUUCUGAGAGGAAGGUCCCCCACAUUGGAACUGAGACACGGUCCAAACUCCUACGGGAGGCAGCAGUGAGGAAUAUUGGUCAAUGGACGAGAGUCUGAACCAGCCAAGUAGCGUGAAGGAUGACUGCCCUAUGGGUUGUAAACUUCUUUUAUAUGGGAAUAAAGUAUUCCACGUGUGGGAUUUUGUAUGUACCAUAUGAAUAAGGAUCGGCUAACUCCGUGCCAGCAGCCGCGGUAAUACGGAGGAUCCGAGCGUUAUCCGGAUUUAUUGGGUUUAAAGGGAGCGUAGGUGGAUUGUUAAGUCAGUUGUGAAAGUUUGCGGCUCAACCGUAAAAUUGCAGUUGAAACUGGCAGUCUUGAGUACAGUAGAGGUGGGCGGAAUUCGUGGUGUAGCGGUGAAAUGCUUAGAUAUCACGAAGAACUCCGAUUGCGAAGGCAGCUCACUAGACUGCAACUGACACUGAUGCUCGAAAGUGUGGGUAUCAAACAGGAUUAGAUACCCUGGUAGUCCACACAGUAAACGAUGAAUACUCGCUGUUUGCGAUAUACAGUAAGCGGCCAAGCGAAAGCAUUAAGUAUUCCACCUGGGGAGUACGCCGGCAACGGUGAAACUCAAAGGAAUUGACGGGGGCCCGCACAAGCGGAGGAACAUGUGGUUUAAUUCGAUGAUACGCGAGGAACCUUACCCGGGCUUAAAUUGCAUUUGAAUAAUCUGGAAACAGGUUAGCCGCAAGGCAAAUGUGAAGGUGCUGCAUGGUUGUCGUCAGCUCGUGCCGUGAGGUGUCGGCUUAAGUGCCAUAACGAGCGCAACCCUUAUCUUUAGUUACUAACAGGUUAUGCUGAGGACUCUAGAGAGACUGCCGUCGUAAGAUGUGAGGAAGGUGGGGAUGACGUCAAAUCAGCACGGCCCUUACGUCCGGGGCUACACACGUGUUACAAUGGGGGGUACAGAAGGCAGCUACCUGGCGACAGGAUGCUAAUCCCAAAAACCUCUCUCAGUUCGGAUCGAAGUCUGCAACCCGACUUCGUGAAGCUGGAUUCGCUAGUAAUCGCGCAUCAGCCAUGGCGCGGUGAAUACGUUCCCGGGCCUUGUACACACCGCCCGUCAAGCCAUGAAAGCCGGGGGUACCUGAAGUACGUAACCGCAAGGAGCGUCCUAGGGUAAAACUGGUAAUUGGGGCUAAGUCGUAACAAGGUAGCCGUACCGGAAGGUGCGGCUGGAACACCUCCUUU
RNAcentral lists this ribosomal RNA (1529 nucleotides) under Bacteroides xylanisolvens. RNAcentral describes it as "bacterial SSU rRNA". It matches the Rfam family "Bacterial small subunit ribosomal RNA". Lineage: Bacteria; Pseudomonadati; Bacteroidota; Bacteroidia; Bacteroidales; Bacteroidaceae. The record is from RNAcentral.